Acomys russatus (golden spiny mouse) is the source of this 102-nucleotide small nuclear RNA. NCBI's taxonomy places the organism in Eukaryota, Metazoa, Chordata, Mammalia, Rodentia, Muridae. The record is from RefSeq and is a predicted model, not a curated record.
GUGCUUGCUUCAGCAGCGCAUAUACAAAAAUUGGAAUAAUGCAGAGAUUUGCAUGGCCCCUGCACAAGGAUGACACAAGUUUGUGAAGUGCUCCAUAUUUUA